Molecule: long non-coding RNA, 2535 nt
Organism: Hibiscus syriacus
Lineage: Eukaryota; Viridiplantae; Streptophyta; Magnoliopsida; Malvales; Malvaceae
Exons: 7
Source: RefSeq, a predicted model, not a curated record
UAAGGUCUCCACCUAAUUUUGACAGCUUCUCCUCAAUUUCUUCUUUCUCGUCGUCUCAAGUUAAGCUCGAUAAAACUUUUGCUAGUUGCCACUUUCAAAUCCUUUCUUUCUCUCGAUGGAGUUGGUGAUAGAUCGUACACUUGCCCUUCAUAUGGAUUCCCAAAUUCCUUUUUCUCGUGACUUUCUUGAAUUCUCAAUUUCCUCUUCCUCGUGACUUUCUUCUUCUCCUCCUCCGAUUGUAACAAUACUUGCCCCAAGAAACAAUCCUUGUCCCCAAGGAUCAAACUAGGAAACUGCAUAUGAAGGAUGAAGUAAUCCUCCCAAGUGUCAUGUGAUUCAUCAAGAUUUAUCCAUCGCACAAGUAACUAAGUCAAAGGUGGAGUUGUGGAGUCACCAAUACACUUCUUCAAUAAGCUCACAUGUAAAACGGGAUGUAUUCGAGAAGUUUCAGGUAUCCUCCUUUGGUUUGUUCUUGUUCCCUGGCCCGAUUCCUUCAUAUCAGGUGGGAAAAUGGAUGUCCAAAACCUUGAAGUUGUUGAAAGUCCCGAGAAUUUGUUACCAGAGAAAUUUGAAUUCCACAAGACUGUAGCGGAUAAAUUGUUUGGAUCGGGGUUCGAGAACCUUAUGAUCCUCACAAAACCUGUAAAAUAUUUUUAAAGGCUUAACAACAACAGCGGUGGGGCGUAUGAUGAAGACGAAAGAUGCUUUAGAUUUGGACAGGAUAAUUCUUUAAAACUAUUUAUGGGAUUGGGCGAUGUUCUCAGAAUUACCGAUCUACCCAUAGACGAUAAACCUAUUGUAGAAAACGAAAAAGGCCUGGAUGUCAAGAAGUUGUGUAUGGAAAAUUGCUUUGGAAAAAAUAAGAAUGAAAUUACAAUGACGUGGCUCCGUGAAAAUUUUGAGAGCUUGAAUGAAGAUAAACUCAAAGGCGUUUAUAUCAGAGGUUAUACCGAAGGUUGCAACUUGGUUGCUAAAACACAUGGGAGAAGUAUCUACAGAUGAAAUAGACCGAGAUAUGCAAAAUCGUCCAGAUAACUUCAUUUUGAUGGUUGGUUGGCAUGAUAAGCUGUAUAAUGCAUCCAUGGAUAAAAGAAACCGACGGCCUUGUUCUCUAUUUCGUAAAUAUUUUAGAAGGUUAACGGAAAAUGCUGUUGAAUGGACACCAUAUGCUAGGCUACCCAUAGAAUUCUUGUCUCUCAUAUAUCGUGAUCCCCCCUAGAAUGUGCUUUCACAUCUAUUAUAUUUAUGGAGAAGGCAGUCUUCCAUGAUCCUGCUGUCUCGAUACAAAAGCAACUGCAUGCAUCUCAUAAUAUUCGAGUCUUUAAGAAGGCUUCCAUUUCUCUCCACAAAAUAUAUAAUGAUCGUCAAAGUAAAAGAUCUAGGAAAAGACGUAAGCAAAAUUGGAACGAUGUUUGCAAGCAAUUCAAAUCAUACUGGGAGAAUCGUUGGAUAUCUUUGUAUCUUAAAGGUAAUCUUGUGUCCCCUAUGGCUUCCUUUUUUCUUGUUUAUUUCUUCCUUUAUAUUCUUUUUUUUAUUUUUUUGGAAAGUUCAUAUAUAGAAAAGAUGAGUAGUAAGGUCAGGGACAGUUGCAACAUCUGGGGCAGGAUGAGUCGAAUGCACCUGCAGCACAUGAUAUCCACAUGGAGCCGAACGAUCUAGGGGAUGAUGAGCUCAUAGGGGAGGAGGGUCUAGGGCUGGAUGAGCCCAUUUCACCUCUGGAACAUAAUGUCCCCAAGGAGCGGGAGGAUCCAGGUGAUGAUGAGCUCAUGGGAGAGGAGGGUCUGAGGCAGGAUAAGCCCAUUUCACCUCUGAGACUUGAUGUUACCAUUGAGCAAGAGGGUUCGGGGGAUGAUGAGCUCAUGGGGGAGGAGGUUCUGAGGCAGGAUGAACCCAUUUCACCUCUAGAACAUAAUGUCCCCAAGGAGCAUGAGGAUCCGGGUGAUGAUGUGCUCAUGGAAGAGGAGGGUUUGGGCUAGGAUUAGCCCAGUUCACCUCUGGAACAUAAUGUCCCCAUGGAGCCGGAGGAUACAAGGGAUGACAUGCUAAUAGGGGAGGAGGGUCUGGAGGAACAGAUGAAUCAUUAUGCACCUCCGGGUCAUGAUGUCCCCAUGGAGAGUCAUCGAGGCUGCAUAUCUAAGAAGCAUACUGGUAAUGUCUCUCAAGAAAAUAUCCUUCCCAAUAACCAAAAAAGAAAAAGAUGACCUCCAUGUUGAUUAAUGAAAUUUAUUGUGUUAAAUCCAUAGAAGAAGAAGAAUUGGGUCACUAUUUGAUUCUUCUGUGUGGUUGUAAAGGUAGAAUAUUUUUUUGCUGUUGCUUAUAAAGGUUGAAUUUCUUGUUCUGCCUAUGGUUAUUAGUAAGUUGUUUUCUAAUUAUUGGUGAUUUAGUGACAGUAUUUGAAGAUGUUGACAUUUUCUGUGCUAGUCGUGAAGCUAAGGAAUAUCUUCAUUGGGUGACUGUUGCAGCUGGUGGAAUCAUACAAACACCUAUUAACAGCAUAAUUGAUGAGCCCCUGUUUUAUUCUUUUUCUUUGGAUGA